UGGUGGGUAGUUUGACUGGGGCGGUCUCCUCCCAAAGAGUAACGGAGGAGCACGAAGGUUGGCUAAUCCUGGUCGGACAUCAGGAGGUUAGUGCAAUGGCAUAAGCCAGCUUGACUGCGAGCGUGACGGCGCGAGCAGGUGCGAAAGCAGGUCAUAGUGAUCCGGUGGUUCUGAAUGGAAGGGCCAUCGCUCAACGGAUAAAAGGUACUCCGGGGAUAACAGGCUGAUACCGCCCAAGAGUUCAUAUCGACGGCGGUGUUUGGCACCUCGAUGUCGGCUCAUCACAUCCUGGGGCUGAAGUAGGUCCCAAGGGUAUGGCUGUUCGCCAUUUAAAGUGGUACGCGAGCUGGGUUUAGAACGUCGUGAGACAGUUCGGUCCCUAUCUGCCGUGGGCGCUGGAGAAUUGAGGGGGGCUGCUCCUAGUACGAGAGGACCGGAGUGGACGCAUCACUGGUGUUCGGGUUGUCAUGCCAAUGGCACUGCCCGGUAGCUAAAUGCGGAAGAGAUAAGUGCUGAAAGCAUCUAAGCACGAAACUUGCCCCGAGAUGAGUUCUCCCUGAGACUUUAAGUCUCCUGAAGGAACGUUAAAGACGAUGACGUUGAUAGGUCG
This 610-nucleotide ribosomal RNA is filed under the name Enterobacter hormaechei. RNAcentral describes it as "partial 23S ribosomal RNA". It matches the Rfam family "Bacterial large subunit ribosomal RNA", at positions 2259 to 2863 of the family's 2925-position model. The record is from RNAcentral. Lineage: Bacteria; Pseudomonadati; Pseudomonadota; Gammaproteobacteria; Enterobacterales; Enterobacteriaceae.